This 525-nucleotide long non-coding RNA is filed under the name Phascolarctos cinereus (koala). Its description in RNAcentral is "lncRNA (ENSPCIG00000037025.1)". Lineage: Eukaryota; Metazoa; Chordata; Mammalia; Diprotodontia; Phascolarctidae. The record is from RNAcentral.
UUACUACAUUAUGUAAUGGAAGGGAAGCUGUGGAUAGCUUCUUGGGGGUUUAAGGGAAGCUGAGUCUACAAGGAAGCACUUUGGAAAAAGAGGGUUUUCUGAGUGUUAGAGGUGAGAAUUGUAUGAUGAAUGGAGGAGAAAAGAUAGUGAAAUCUGAGUAAUUGAGCAGAAGGCCUGGGGGAUGAGAGGACUGAAGAAAUAAACCUUCAGGCCAAGGUGCCUUGUAAAUAGGACAGGUGCAGCGUUCAAAAGCGAAGGGACCUAAAAAAGGUGGGUCCUUGGAAAGUGGGAGAGAAGAUGACUAUAAAGAUCCCAGGAAGGAAGGUGUUUUAAGGUCAGAUUGUAUAGGGGAGAGGCUGUCCCUGAGCUGCUAUUGGGAGGAGGAUGGAACUGGAAGAGGAAAUUAACUAGUCCAAGAGAUUCUCAGCCUAGCACAGCAUAGUCAGUUGCUGCAAAGUCAGUUGGAGCUGUGAAAAGGAUCAGGCUGAGGGAGCCCAGAUAAUGUGUUGCAACAGUGGAGAAGCA